This is a long non-coding RNA of Xenopus tropicalis (tropical clawed frog), 362 nucleotides long. RefSeq lists it as uncharacterized. The transcript has 2 exons. The record is from RefSeq and is a predicted model, not a curated record. NCBI's taxonomy places the organism in Eukaryota, Metazoa, Chordata, Amphibia, Anura, Pipidae.
CAGUUCUGCUUCUCUUUUUAUAAGAAUGACCAGUUCAAUAUAUCACUUCAUGAAACAUAGACUCUUUUUAAUUGUGCAGAAUUCUAAUAUGAACGCCGCUUUGGACUGGAAGUGUGAGCGGAAACCUUUGCCAUCUUCAUACACUGGUUAUUUGAGAGGGGCAUCACUUCUAGACUUCAAAGGCUGCAAUGUUUCCCUUCAUCAAGAAAACAUUUUCUUGCAGGCCUGUUCCCUGGAUACACGGAUGGUUCCUGGAUCUGUACAUAUUGUGCCUCACUUUCAAGUGGUAACUGAGAAUCCAUUUGCUUGGUGAUUUUAACUCCCUAUAUCUGAAUAAAUCUCUGUGUACAUGACAUGCUUUA